Molecule: ribosomal RNA, 239 nt
Filed under: uncultured bacterium
Lineage: Bacteria
Description: partial 16S ribosomal RNA
Rfam family: Bacterial small subunit ribosomal RNA
Source: RNAcentral
AGUGGCGGACGGGGGAGUAACGCGUGGGUAACUGCCUCAUACAGGGGGAUAACAGUUAGAAAUGACUGCUAAUACCGCAUAAGACCACAGCACCGCAUGGUGUAGGGGUAAAAACUCCGGUGGUAUGAGAUGGACCCGCGUCUGAUUAGGUAGUUGGUGGGGUAACGGCCUACCAAGCCGACGAUCAGUAGCCGACCUGAGAGGGUGACCGGCCACAUUGGGACUGAGACACGGCCCAA